This 423-nucleotide ribosomal RNA is filed under the name Salmonella enterica. Its description in RNAcentral is "bacterial LSU rRNA". It matches the Rfam family "Bacterial large subunit ribosomal RNA", at positions 745 to 1165 of the family's 2925-position model. RNAcentral also lists the same sequence under 2 other names. Lineage: Bacteria; Pseudomonadati; Pseudomonadota; Gammaproteobacteria; Enterobacterales; Enterobacteriaceae. The record is from RNAcentral.
UUGAAGGUUGGGUAACACUAACUGGAGGACCGAACCGACUAAUGUUGAAAAAUUAGCGGAUGACCUGUGGCUGGGGGUGAAAGGCCAAUCAAACCGGGAGAUAGCUGGUUCUCCCCGAAAGCUAUUUAGGUAGCGCCUCGUGAAUUCAUCUCCGGGGGUAGAGCACUGUUUCGGCUAGGGGGCCAUCCCGGCUUACCAACCCGAUGCAAACUGCGAAUACCGGAGAAUGUUAUCACGGGAGACACACGGCGGGUGCUAACGUCCGUCGUGAAGAGGGAAACAACCCAGACCGCCAGCUAAGGUCCCAAAGUCAUGGUUAAGUGGGAAACGAUGUGGGAAGGCCCAGACAGCCAGGAUGUUGGCUUAGAAGCAGCCAUCAUUUAAAGAAAGCGUAAUAGCUCACUGGUCGAGUCGGCCUGCGCG